ACCGGGAGGAAGGAACCGGAAACAGAAUGAAAGCGCGCUGCAACCGCCUGGCAGGGAGCGUGACCAACUGUGGUUCUGUACCUCAAUCCAGACGAUCCAGACUUAAUGAAAGCCAUCCAGUCUCCAACAGUCAUGGCAGUCUCACAGACAGACGAAGUGUUGUUCAGAAUCCAGCGGAACCGUCGAUCGAGGAUGAUUGUGGUGCCCAUGAACCGGCUCGCAUCUCGUCAGGGAAUUUCUCCGCACGAGCGGCCUUAAGAACUGCAGGAUCCUCGUCACAUUCCUGUUGCAGCGCACUCAGACAUAUCUGCUUGCUAUUCAGUAUGUGUAUAGCGUCCAAGACCACGUUCUCACCAUCUUCAUCCAGCCUCACUUGACCCUCUGAAGCACCAUCUGCAGGGGAAGAGAUGCAUGGAAAUGCAUGCAUCCUCAUCUGAAAAAAGAAACACAUCUCACCUGCAAGAGGUCACCAGUCCAGGAC
Molecule: long non-coding RNA, 481 nt
Organism: Cryptotermes secundus
Lineage: Eukaryota; Metazoa; Arthropoda; Insecta; Blattodea; Kalotermitidae
Exons: 3
Source: RefSeq, a predicted model, not a curated record